Molecule: ribosomal RNA, 600 nt
Filed under: Roseibium aggregatum
Lineage: Bacteria; Pseudomonadati; Pseudomonadota; Alphaproteobacteria; Hyphomicrobiales; Stappiaceae
Description: bacterial SSU rRNA
Rfam family: Bacterial small subunit ribosomal RNA
Source: RNAcentral
GUAACGCGUGGGAACCUACCUUUAGGUACGGAACAACAGUUGGAAACGACUGCUAAUACCGUAUGUGCCCUAUGGGGGAAAGAUUUAUCGCCUAAGGAUGGGCCCGCGUUGGAUUAGCUAGUUGGUGGGGUAAAGGCCUACCAAGGCGACGAUCCAUAGCUGGUCUGAGAGGAUGAUCAGCCACACUGGGACUGAGACACGGCCCAGACUCCUACGGGAGGCAGCAGUGGGGAAUAUUGGACAAUGGGCGCAAGCCUGAUCCAGCCAUGCCGCGUGAGUGAUGAAGGCCCUAGGGUUGUAAAGCUCUUUCAGCGAGGAGGAUAAUGACGUUACUCGCAGAAGAAGCCCCGGCUAACUUCGUGCCAGCAGCCGCGGUAAUACGAAGGGGGCUAGCGUUGUUCGGAAUCACUGGGCGUAAAGCGCACGUAGGCGGACUUUUAAGUCAGGGGUGAAAUCCCGGGGCUCAACCCCGGAACUGCCUUUGAUACUGGAAGUCUUGAGUCCGAGAGAGGUGAGUGGAACUCCGAGUGUAGAGGUGAAAUUCGUAGAUAUUCGGAAGAACACCAGUGGCGAAGGCGGCUCACUGGCUCGGUACUGACG